Molecule: ribosomal RNA, 499 nt
Filed under: uncultured microorganism
Description: bacterial SSU rRNA
Rfam family: Archaeal small subunit ribosomal RNA
Source: RNAcentral
UGGUGGGGUAACGGCCCACCAAGCCUAAGAUCCGUACGGGCCAUGGGAGUGGGAGCCCGGAGAUGGACCCUGAGACAAGGGUCCAGGCCCUACGGGGCGCAGCAGGCGCGAAACCUCCGCAAUGCGGGAAACCGCGACGGGGUCAGCCGGAGUGCCGAUGCUUGCAUCGGCUGUCGGGGAGCCUAAAAAGCUCCCCAUAGCAAGGGCCGGGCAAGGCCGGUGGCAGCCGCCGCGGUAAUACCGGCGGCCCGAGUGGCGGCCACUUUUAUUGGGCCUAAAGCGUCCGUAGCCGGGCUGGUAAGUCCUCCGGGAAAUCUGGUCGCUUAACGAUCAGACUGCCGGAGGAUACUGCCAGCCUAGGGACCGGGAGAGGCCGGGGGUAUUCCCGGGGUAGGGGUGAAAUCCUGUAAUCCCGGGAGGACCACCUGUGGCGAAGGCGCCCGGCUGGAACGGGUCCGACGGUGAGGGACGAAGGCCAGGGGAGCGAACCGGAUUAGAU